Oryctolagus cuniculus (rabbit) is the source of this 530-nucleotide non-coding RNA. Lineage: Eukaryota; Metazoa; Chordata; Mammalia; Lagomorpha; Leporidae. The record is from RefSeq and is a predicted model, not a curated record.
CCUUUCCCCGCACCCACCUUGCACUGGAGCACAGGUGCCCUUUGGUGCCCCGCCCGCCUGCACUUUCGGGCCAGUCUGACAGGUUCUGGGGGAACCCGUGUUCCAGCCUCUCCCGGCCCCUCCAGACUCCAGGCAUCCGGCAGGUGAGUCAGGGAGCAGCAGGUAAGCUGGGUGCACCUCCCUGCCCAGGAGCCCGAGCCCGAGUAUCGGCUGGGUGUGUCCUCCUGGAUGUGCCUCCCUGCGUUUGUUGGAAGUGACCACAUUGUAAUUAUCAGCCUUUCAGCCCAGUAAUUCUGGCCAUGAUAAAAUCUUGAUAUCUUUAACUGCUUUCACAGACUCUCUGUGAAUCCUGCAGAAGUGGACGGUUGAGGUCGGACGUGAUUCUCUCGGUGGGGUGGAGGGCAAGGCUGGCCUGAAAAACCAGGAAGCAGCCGACCUCGCUCACAGCCGCCGCGAGGACAGCUUGCAGCGGGAGGGAGCUGUUGUGUUGUCCACGAGAAGUCAGGCCCACUGGACAGCAAAUGACCAGG